UGUGCUCUUACGAUCAGGAGCCUGUGGGCGGUGUUUCACCUAGGAAGAUUGAUGAGAGCAGAGGGGAAGACCCACCAUAAAGCAGGUAAGCCUAGAAGCUUCUUUUGUAUCCCAGGUGUGGCCUUUUCCACGGACCAAGCUGCGAUGCAGUAUUGACCUGACAGAGCCCCCACUCCAGCAGUGUCUGUACUGCAAAACAAAGCCCCCCUGGAAACCAAAAA
Vicugna pacos (alpaca) is the source of this 221-nucleotide non-coding RNA. The record is from RefSeq and is a predicted model, not a curated record. NCBI's taxonomy places the organism in Eukaryota, Metazoa, Chordata, Mammalia, Artiodactyla, Camelidae.